GAUGAACGCUGGCGGCGUGCCUAAUACAUGCCAGUCGAGCGAACGGACGAGAAGCUUGCUUCUCUGAUGUUAGCGGCGGACGGGUGAGUAACACGUGGAUAACCUACCUAUAAGACUGGGAUAACUUCGGGAAACCGGAGCUAAUACCGGAUAAUAUUUUGAACCGCAUGGUUCAAAAGUGAAAGACGGUCUUGCUGUCACUUAUAGAUGGAUCCGCGCUGCAUUAGCUAGUUGGUAAGGUAACGGCUUACCAAGGCAACGAUGCAUAGCCGACCUGAGAGGGUGAUCGGCCACACUGGAACUGAGACACGGUCCAGACUCCUACGGGAGGCAGCAGUAGGGAAUCUUCCGCAAUGGGCGAAAGCCUGACGGAGCAACGCCGCGUGAGUGAUGAAGGUCUUCGGAUCGUAAAACUCUGUUAUUAGGGAAGAACAUAUGUGUAAGUAACUGUGCACAUCUUGACGGUACCUAAUCAGAAAACCACGGCUAACUACGUG
This 497-nucleotide ribosomal RNA is filed under the name uncultured bacterium. RNAcentral describes it as "partial 16S ribosomal RNA". It matches the Rfam family "Bacterial small subunit ribosomal RNA", at positions 28 to 507 of the family's 1533-position model. The record is from RNAcentral.